This 464-nucleotide ribosomal RNA is filed under the name uncultured Planctomycetota bacterium. RNAcentral's name for it is "bacterial SSU rRNA". It matches the Rfam family "Bacterial small subunit ribosomal RNA", at positions 365 to 819 of the family's 1533-position model. Lineage: Bacteria; Pseudomonadati; Planctomycetota. The record is from RNAcentral.
UUCGCAAUGCCCGAAAGGGUGACGAAGCGACGCCGCGUGGGUGAGGAAGGCCUUCGGGUUGUAAAGCCCUGUCAGGAGUUAAGAAAUAUAAGUGCGUUAAUACCGCAUUUAUUUGACGAAGGCUCCAAAGGAAGCCACGGCUAACUCUGUGCCAGCAGCCGCGGUAAUACAGAGGUGGCAAGCGUUGUUCGGAAUUAUUGGGCGUAAAGAGCACGUAGGUGGGUUUGUAAGUCAGAUGUGAAAGCCUUCUGUUCAACGGAAGAAUUGCAUCUGAAACUACAAGUCUUGAGUGUAGGAGGGGAGAAUGGAACUUCUGGUGGAGCGGUGAAAUGCGUAGAUAUCAGAAGGAACGCCGGCGGCGAAAGCGAUUCUCUGGCCUAUUACUGACACUCAGUGUGCGAAAGCUAGGGGAGCAAACGGGAUUAGAUACCCCGGUAGUCCUAGCCGUAAACGAUGGGCACUAA